Molecule: unclassified non-coding RNA, 346 nt
Filed under: soil metagenome
Description: partial contains 5.8S ribosomal RNA, internal transcribed spacer 2, and large subunit ribosomal RNA
Rfam family: 5.8S ribosomal RNA (bases 1-121)
Source: RNAcentral
GAUGAAGAACGUAGCGAAAUGCGAUAAGUAAUGCGAAUUGCAGAAUUUCCGUGAGUCAUCGAAUCUUUGAACGAACAUUGCGCCCACUGGUAUUCCGGUGGGCAUGCCUGUUCGAGCGUCAUUAUCCUCCCUCAAACCUCGGGUUUGGUGUUGGACCCAAGUUGUGUGAACAACUGGUCUCAAAGACAAUGACGGCGUCCGUGGGACCCUCGGUGCAACGAGCUUUUAGGAGCACGCGUCUAGUUUCAAGGACCUUCCGGGCCGGUCUCCUUUACUAUUUUUACAAGGUUGACCUCGGAUCAGGUAGGAAUACCCGCUGAACUUAAGCAUAUCAAUAAGCGGAGGA